Molecule: ribosomal RNA, 465 nt
Filed under: uncultured bacterium
Lineage: Bacteria
Description: partial 16S ribosomal RNA
Rfam family: Bacterial small subunit ribosomal RNA
Source: RNAcentral
GACGAACGCUGGCGGCGUGCUUAACACAUGCAAGUCGAACGGAAAGGCCCUGCUUGCAGGGUACUCGAGUGGCGAACGGGUGAGUAACACGUGGGUGAUCUGCCCUGCACUUCGGGAUAAGCCUGGGAAACUGGGUCUAAUACCGGAUAUGACCUUCCAUGAAGUGUGUGGGUUGGAAAGAUUUAUCGGUGUUGGAUGGGCCCGCGGCCUAUGGGCUUGUUGGUGGGGUAAUGGCCUACCAAGGCGUCGACGGGUAGCCGGCCUGAGAGGGUGGACGGCCACAUUGGGACUGGGAGACGGACCAGAAUCCUACGGGAGGCAGCAGUGGAGAAUAUUGCACAAUAGGGGGAAGCCUGAUGCAGCGACGCCGCGUGGGGGAUGACGGCCUUCGGGUUGUAAACCUCUUUCGACAGGGACGAAGCUUCGGUGACGGUACCUGUAUAAGAAGCACCGGCUAACUACGUG